This 386-nucleotide unclassified non-coding RNA is filed under the name uncultured bacterium. RNAcentral's name for it is "contains 16S-23S intergenic spacer region". The record is from RNAcentral.
UCCUCGUUUAGACGAGGCAGUCUGUCCAGAGUGCUUCCCGCUCUCGCGGGAGUGGCAACAGGACACAAGGGUUGCGCUCGUUGCGGGACUUAACCCAACAUCUCACGACACGAGCUGACGACAGCCAUGCAGCACCUGUCUCUUGGUUCUCUUGCGAGCACCCCCGCAUCUCUGCAGGGUUCCGAAGAUGUCAAGACCAGGUAAGGUUCUUCGCGUUGCAUCGAAUUAAACCACACGCUCCACCGCUUGUGCGGGUCCCCGUCAAUUCCUUUGAGUUUUAGCCUUGCGGCCGUAGUCCCCAGGCGGCGGACUUAAUGCGUUAGCUGCGGCGCCGAGGGGGUCGAUACCCCCGACACCUAGUCCGCAUCGUUUACGGCGUGGACUAC